Molecule: ribosomal RNA, 449 nt
Filed under: uncultured bacterium
Lineage: Bacteria
Description: bacterial SSU rRNA
Rfam family: Bacterial small subunit ribosomal RNA
Source: RNAcentral
AGCGAACGCUGGCGGCAGGCUUAACACAUGCAAGUCGAGCGGGCGUAGCAAUACGUCAGCGGCAGACGGGUGAGUAACGCGUGGGAACAUACCUUUUGGUUCGGAACAACACAGGGAAACUUGUGCUAAUACCGGAUAAGCCCUUACGGGGAAAGAUUUAUCGCCGAAAGAUUGGCCCGCGUCUGAUUAGCUAGUUGGUGAGGUAACGGCUCACCAAGGCGACGAUCAGUAGCNGGUCUGAGAGGAUGAUCAGCCACAUUGGGACUGAGACACGGCCCAAACUCCUACGGGAGGCAGCAGUGGGGAAUAUUGGACAAUGGGCGCAAGCCUGAUCCAGCCAUGCCGCGUGAGUGAUGAAGGCCCUAGGGUUGUAAAGCUCUUUUGUGCGGGAAGAUAAUGACGGUACCGCAAGAAUAAGCCCCGGCUAACUUCGUGCCAGCAGCCGCAGU